This 386-nucleotide ribosomal RNA is filed under the name uncultured bacterium. RNAcentral describes it as "bacterial SSU rRNA". It matches the Rfam family "Bacterial small subunit ribosomal RNA", at positions 30 to 416 of the family's 1533-position model. The record is from RNAcentral.
AUUGAACGCUGGCGGCAUGCCUUACACAUGCAAGUCGAACGGCAGCACGGGGCAACCUGGUGGCGAGUGGCGAACGGGUGGGUAAUGCAUCGGAACGUGCCAUUGAGUGGGGGAUAACGUAGCGAAAGUUGCGCUAAUACCGCAUAUUCUGUGAGCAGGAAAGCAGGGGACCGCAAGGCCUUGCGCUCUUUGAGCGGCCGAUGUCAGAUUAGCUAGUUGGUGAGGUAACGGGCUUACCAAGGCGACGAUCUGUAGCGGGUCUGAGAGGAUGAUCCGCCACACUGGAACUGAGACACGGUCCAGACUCCUACGGGAGGCAGCAGUGGGGAAUUUUGGGACAAUGGGCGCAAGCCUGAUCCAGCCAUGCCGCGUGAGUGAAGAAGGCC